This 253-nucleotide ribosomal RNA is filed under the name uncultured bacterium. RNAcentral describes it as "partial 16S ribosomal RNA". It matches the Rfam family "Bacterial small subunit ribosomal RNA", at positions 524 to 776 of the family's 1533-position model. The record is from RNAcentral.
UACGGAGGAGGCAAGCGUUAUCCGGAAUGAUUGGGCGUAAAGCGUCCGCAGGUGGCUAUGUAAGUCUGCUGUUAAAGAGCAAAGCUUAACUUUGUAAAAGCAGUGGAAACUACAUAGCUAGAGUGCGUUCGGGGCAGAGGGAAUUCCUGGUGUAGCGGUGAAAUGCGUAGAGAUCAGGAAGAACACCGGUGGCGAAGGCGCUCUGCUAGGCCGCAACUGACACUGAGGGACGAAAGCUAGGGGAGCGAAUGGG